CGGCGUGCCUAAUACAUGCAAGUCGAGCGAACUGAUUAGAAGCUUGCUUCUAUGACGUUAGCGGCGGACGGGUGAGUAACACGUGGGCAACCUGCCUGUAAGACUGGGAUAACUUCGGGAAACCGAAGCUAAUACCGGAUAGGAUCUUCUCCUUCAUGGGAGAUGAUUGAAAGAUGGUUUCGGCUAUCACUUACAGAUGGGCCCGCGGUGCAUUAGCUAGUUGGUGAGGUAACGGCUCACCAAGGCAACGAUGCAUAGCCGACCUGAGAGGGUGAUCGGCCACACUGGGACUGAGACACGGCCCAGACUCCUACGGGAGGCAGCAGUAGGGAAUCUUCCGCAAUGGACGAAAGUCUGACGGAGCAACGCCGCGUGAGUGAUGAAGGCUUUCGGGUCGUAAAACUCUGUUGUUAGGGAAGAACAAGUACAAGAGUAACUGCUCGUACCUUGACGGUACCUAACCAGAAAGCCACGGCUAACUACGUGCCAGCAGCCGCGGUAAUACGUAGGUGGCAAGCGUUAUCCGGAAUUAUUGGGCGUAAAGCGCGCGCAGGCGGUUUCUUAAGUCUGAUGUGAAAGCCCACGGCUCAACCGUGGAGGGUCAUUGGAAACUGGGGAACUUGAGUGCAGAAGAGAAAAGCGGAAUUCCACGUGUAGCGGUGAAAUGCGUAGAGAUGUGGAGGAACACCAGUGGCGAAGGCGGCUUUUUUGGUCUGUAACUGA
This 723-nucleotide ribosomal RNA is filed under the name Bacillus sp. (in: firmicutes). Its description in RNAcentral is "bacterial SSU rRNA". It matches the Rfam family "Bacterial small subunit ribosomal RNA", at positions 40 to 743 of the family's 1533-position model. The record is from RNAcentral. Lineage: Bacteria; Bacillati; Bacillota; Bacilli; Caryophanales; Bacillaceae.